This 255-nucleotide ribosomal RNA is filed under the name Klebsiella pneumoniae. Its description in RNAcentral is "partial 23S ribosomal RNA". It matches the Rfam family "Bacterial large subunit ribosomal RNA", at positions 1 to 264 of the family's 2925-position model. Lineage: Bacteria; Pseudomonadati; Pseudomonadota; Gammaproteobacteria; Enterobacterales; Enterobacteriaceae. The record is from RNAcentral.
GACUAAGCGUACACGGUGGAUGCCCUGGCAGUCAGAGGCGAUGAAGGACGUGCUAAUCUGCGAAAAGCGUCGGUAAGGUGAUAUGAACCGUUAUAACCGGCGAUGUCCGAAUGGGGAAACCCAGUGCUAUUCGUUGCACUAUCGUUAACUGAAUACAUAGGUUAACGAGGCGAACCGGGGGAACUGAAACAUCUAAGUACCCCGAGGAAAAGAAAUCAACCGAGAUUCCCCCAGUAGCGGCGAGCGAACGGGGAG